Molecule: ribosomal RNA, 1217 nt
Filed under: Photobacterium sp. J22
Lineage: Bacteria; Pseudomonadati; Pseudomonadota; Gammaproteobacteria; Vibrionales; Vibrionaceae
Description: bacterial SSU rRNA
Rfam family: Bacterial small subunit ribosomal RNA
Source: RNAcentral
UAAGAUUAGCCCAGGUGGGAUUAGCUUGUUGGUGGGGUAAAGGCUCACCAAGGCAACGAUCCCUAGCUGGUCUGAGAGGAUGAUCAGCCACACUGGAACUGAGACACGGUCCAGACUCUACGGGAGGCAGCAGUGGGGAAUAUUGCACAAUGGGGGAAACCCUGAUGCAGCCAUGCCGCGUGUAUGAAGAAGGCUUCGGGUUGUAAAGUACUUUCAGUCGUGAGGAAGGGUGAGCAGUUAAUAGCUGUUUAUCUUGACGUUAGCGACAGAAGAAGCACCGGCUAACUCCGUGCCAGCAGCCGCGGUAAUACGGAGGGUGCGAGCGUUAAUCGGAAUUACUGGGCGUAAAGCGCAUGCAGGCGGUCUGUUAAGCAAGAUGUGAAAGCCCGGGGCUCAACCUCGGAACAGCAUUUUGAACUGGCAGACUAGAGUCUUGUAGAGGGGGGUAGAAUUUCAGGUGUAGCGGUGAAAUGCGUAGAGAUCUGAAGGAAUACCGGUGGCGAAGGCGGCCCCCUGGACAAAGACUGACGCUCAGAUGCGAAAGCGUGGGGAGCAAACAGGAUUAGAUACCCUGGUAGUCCACGCCGUAAACGAUGUCUACUUGAAGGUUGUGGCCUUGAGCCGUGGCUUUCGGAGCUAACGGUUAAGUAGACCGCUGGGGAGUACGGUCGCAAGAUUAAAACUCAAAUGAGUUGAAGGGGGCCCGGACAAGGGUGGAGCAUGUGGUUUAAUUCGGUGGAACGCGAAGAACCUUAGUUACUCUUGACAUCCAGAGAAUUCGCUAGAGAUAGCUUAGUGCCUUCGGGAACUCUGAGACAGGUGCUGCAUUGCUGUCGUCAGCUCGUGUUGUGAAAUGUUGGGUUAAGUCCCGCAACGAGCGCAACCCCUAUCCUUGUUUGCCAGCACGUAAUGGUGGGAACUCCAGGGAGACUGCCGGUGAUAAACCGGAGGAAGGUGGGGCGACGUCAAGUCAUCAUGGCCCUUACGAGUAGGGCUACACACGUGCUACAAUGGCGUAUACAGAGGGCUGCCAACCAGCGAUGGUGAGCGAAUCCCACAAAGUACGUCGUGGUCCGGAUUGGAGUCUGCAACUCGACUCCAUGAAGUCGGAAUCGCUAGUAAUCGUAGAUCAGAAUGCUACGGUGAAUACGUUCCCGGGCCUUGUACACACCGCCCGUCACACCAUGGGAGUGGGCUGCACCAGAAGUAGAUAGCUU